Selaginella moellendorffii is the source of this 1152-nucleotide long non-coding RNA. RefSeq lists it as uncharacterized. The record is from RefSeq and is a predicted model, not a curated record. Lineage: Eukaryota; Viridiplantae; Streptophyta; Lycopodiopsida; Selaginellales; Selaginellaceae. The transcript has 3 exons.
ACGAACAAAAGGCCCGACUUACAUGAGAGUCUUCAUGUUCAUCGUAAGCGAUGCAUCACCUGCGCACCCAAGGAAAACAAAUAAUUCGACUCGAUCUCCUUGGCAGCGGCUUUCUCUAUCUGUAAACAUCGAGAUCGUCUCGAAAGGCUGGCCGGCUGGCCCUUGGUUCAUUAAAAUUCCAACCUGAAACGCACCAACAUCAUGAUUGCGCGCCUCGGAGCUUAUUUUUUUGUCUAGCCAGCCACCGCCACAGCGAGCCGACGAAAUGAUCCGAUCCAUCGCGGUUUGUGCUUUCUCAUCUUUUCCCACUGUAAGUGUCACUCGCAAACUCAAGAACUUCGAUGCUUUCUCAUCUUUUCCCACUUGAACUUGACAAUGUGAAUGCCAUGGAAUCAAAAUGGUGGUGCCACCAUUUUGCUCGGCCAUCCAUGGUUAAUAUCCAAGAGCUCUGAUUGACAAAAGAUUCUUGGAUUGGAAUCUCGUGCUCGGGAACAGGGCUUGUACACUCGUCCAACACAUUGACCACAGAAAAGCAUUGUGUGGGUGUUAAGAAACCGCAACGUUAGAGUCAAGUUCCUCAUUUAUCAGGAGUGAGUGAUGGAGGAGAAAAUUCUAAACAAACCAACGCCAACUCGAUCAAUCAAUAUUUUGAGAGGGUGGUAAGAAGCACCAUACUUCUCUAAGGUACUUGGGAUCUCAUCAAAUCUCCUUGUACUUUGUAUGGUAUGAUUUUUUAUAUAUAUUUUUUUCCUUUUACAUCUUUAACUUGGGUUGGAGCUUUGCGUUUGGGUCCCUUGUUUCUGACACGACUCAGCACGGAAACAACUCAAGAACACACUCAUGAAAAGCAAGAGAGCAUUCGUAUACACAAGAAGAGAGACUAGAUCUUGCAUUGUCCAGCCUGCCUUCUCGACUUAAAAAGAGGGAAGUAAAAAUGGAAACUUUGAUCCUUGAUCGGACUCAAACACUCUGGAAAAGAAAAGUUGCGAGCUCGCGAAGAACGUGUCCCGGAGCCCUUUUCUCUCCAUGGAGCCGGAGCCUUCGCGUUGAGUCGUAAUCUGCAUGGGAAAUAGCGAAAUCCUACACAUCAAGCUCGGAAUCAAAAGUUCCUCCUAUAGCUACACAAUAAGUAAAGAUGAAACAAGCAGGAGA